GACUCGGUGGCGGAUGGUCCGCGUCUGUGCUCCUUAAGCCUGAAUCUUUUCUGCUGAUCGGCAGAAGCCGCCCGUUCGAUCCGGGCCCGGGUCA
Molecule: non-coding RNA, 94 nt
Organism: Mycena vulgaris
Lineage: Eukaryota; Fungi; Basidiomycota; Agaricomycetes; Agaricales; Mycenaceae
Source: the annotation of a GenBank genome assembly